CAAUAGCGUAUAUUAAAGUUGUUGCAGUUAAAAAGCUCGUAGUUGGAUUUCUGGUUGAAGCGACCGGUCGGGCGUUGAUUCGUCUGCACUGGAGUCGGUUUUGGCCAUCCUCUAGGAGAGUGCGUCUGGUAUUAAGUUAUCGGGCGUAUGAUCCUGGUCUUUUACUGUGAAAAAAUUAGAGUGUUUAAAGCAGGCCUUCGCCUUGAAUACAUUAGCAUGGAAUAAUAAGAUAGGACUUUGGUCUAUUUUGUUGGUUUGCAGACCGAAGUAAUGAUUAAUAGGGAUAGUUGGGGGUAUUUAUAUUCCGAUGUCAGAGGUGAAAUUCUUAGAUUUUCGGAAGAUAAACUUAUGCGAAAGCAUUUACCAAGGAUGUUUUCAUUAA
This 382-nucleotide ribosomal RNA is filed under the name uncultured eukaryote. RNAcentral's name for it is "partial 18S ribosomal RNA". It matches the Rfam family "Eukaryotic small subunit ribosomal RNA", at positions 592 to 976 of the family's 1831-position model. The record is from RNAcentral.